ACAAUGGGCGCAAGCCUGAUGCAGCGACGCCGCGUGGGGAUGACGGCCUUCGGGUUGUAAACCUCUUUCACUCAUGACGAAGCGUAAGUGACGGUAAUGGGAGAAGAAGCACCGGCCAACUACGUGCCAGCAGCCGCGGUAAUACGUAGGGUGCGAGCGUUGUCCGGAAUUACUGGGCGUAAAGAGCUCGUAGGUGGUUUGUCGCGUUGUUCGUGAAAACUCACGGCUUAACUGUGGGCGUGCGGGCGAUACGGGCAGACUGGAGUACUGCAGGGGAGAUUGGAAUUCCUGGUGUAGCGGUGGAAUGCGCAGAUAUCAGGAGGAACACCGGUGGCGAAGGCGGGUCUCUGGGCAGUAACUGACGCUGAGGAGCGAAAGCGUGGGGAGCGAACAGGAUUAGAUACCCUGGUAGUCCACGCCGUAAACGGUGGGUACUAGGUGUGGGUUUCCUUCCUUGGGAUCCGUGCCGUAGCUAACGCAUUAAGUACCCCGCCUGGGGAGUACGGCCGCAAGGCUA
RNAcentral lists this ribosomal RNA (517 nucleotides) under uncultured Actinomycetes bacterium. RNAcentral describes it as "bacterial SSU rRNA". It matches the Rfam family "Bacterial small subunit ribosomal RNA", at positions 368 to 896 of the family's 1533-position model. The record is from RNAcentral. Lineage: Bacteria; Bacillati; Actinomycetota; Actinomycetes.